Piliocolobus tephrosceles (Ugandan red Colobus) is the source of this 106-nucleotide unclassified non-coding RNA. It matches the Rfam family "Y RNA". Rfam says of the family: Y RNAs are components of the Ro ribonucleoprotein particle (Ro RNP), in association with Ro60 and La proteins. The Y RNAs and Ro60 and La proteins are well conserved, but the function of the Ro RNP is not known. In humans the RNA component can be one of four small RNAs -- hY1, hY3, hY4 and hY5. NCBI's taxonomy places the organism in Eukaryota, Metazoa, Chordata, Mammalia, Primates, Cercopithecidae. The record is from Ensembl.
AGCUGGUCUGAGUGCAGUGUUGUUUGCAACUAAUUGAUCACAAUCAGUCAUAGAUUUCUUUGUUCCUUCUCCACUCCCGCUGUCUCUAUUUUUUAGUUGAGCUAUU